This 486-nucleotide ribosomal RNA is filed under the name Phaethornis longuemareus (Little hermit). Its description in RNAcentral is "partial 12S ribosomal RNA". It matches the Rfam family "Bacterial small subunit ribosomal RNA", at positions 779 to 1468 of the family's 1533-position model. Lineage: Eukaryota; Metazoa; Chordata; Aves; Apodiformes; Trochilidae. The record is from RNAcentral.
UAGAUACCCCACUAUGAGCCGUCCUAAAUCUCGACACCACACCAGAACUAAAGUGUCCGCCUGAGAACUACGAGCAUGAACGCUUAAAACUCUAAGGACUUGGCGGUGCCUCAAACCCACCUAGAGGAGCCUGUUCUAUAAUCGAUAACCCACGAUACACCCGACCACUCUUUGCUUAACACAGCCUACAUACCGCCGUCGCCAGUUUACCUAACUUGAGAGAACAGUAGUGAACACAACAGCCCUAACCACGCUAACAAGACAGGUCAAGGUAUAGCCUACGGAGUGGAAGAAAUGGGCUACAUUUUCUAACCUAGAGAACUACGAAAAGGGGUAUGAAACUCCCCCUGGAAGGCGGAUUUAGAAGUAAAGCCGGGCAAUAAUACCCCCUUAAAACCGGCCCUGAGGUACGUACAUACCGCCCGUCACCCUCCUCACAAGCCACAUACACAUGUAACUUAACACUAUUCUUGCCAAAGAUGAGGC